This 460-nucleotide ribosomal RNA is filed under the name uncultured bacterium. Its description in RNAcentral is "partial 16S ribosomal RNA". It matches the Rfam family "Bacterial small subunit ribosomal RNA", at positions 338 to 795 of the family's 1533-position model. The record is from RNAcentral.
CCUACGGGUGGCAGCAGUGAGGAAUAUUGGUCAAUGGACGAGAGUCUGAACCAGCCAAGUAGCAUGAAGGAUGACUGCCCUAUGGGUUGUAAACUUCUUUUAUAUGGGAAUAAAAUGUUCCACGUGUGGGAUUUUGUAUGUACCAUAUGAAUAAGGAUCGGCUAACUCCGUGCCAGCAGCCGCGGUAAUACGGAGGAUCCGAGCGUUAUCCGGAUUUAUUGGGUUUAAAGGGAGAGUAGGUGGAUUGUUAAGUCAGUUGUGAAAGUUUGGGGCUCAACCGUGACAUUGCAGUUGAAACUGGCAGUCUUGAGUACAGGAGAGGUGGGCGGAAGUCGUGGUGUAGCGGUGAAAUGCUUAGAUAUCACGAAGAACUCCGAUUGCGAAGGCAGUUCACUGGACUGCAACUGACGCUGAGGCUCGAAAGUGUGGGUAUCAAACAGGAUUAGAUACCCUUGUAGUC